This 413-nucleotide ribosomal RNA is filed under the name Mantidactylus ulcerosus. Its description in RNAcentral is "partial large subunit ribosomal RNA". It matches the Rfam family "Bacterial large subunit ribosomal RNA", at positions 2017 to 2597 of the family's 2925-position model. The record is from RNAcentral. Lineage: Eukaryota; Metazoa; Chordata; Amphibia; Anura; Mantellidae.
UGUCUCCUUUUUCUAAUCAGUGAAACUAAUCUCCCCGUGAAGAAGCGGGGAUACCCCUAUAAGACGAGAAGACCCCAUGGAGCUUUAAACCCAACUACACUCCCGACUCUCAAAACCACUAAACUCCCGGGACCCUACUACGUUGGUUUUAGGUUGGGGCGACCACGGAGUACAAUAAAACCUCCACAAUGAACAGGACUAUUCCUUUAUCUAAGAGCUACACCUCUAAGAAUUGACACAUCAACAUAAUAUGAUCCAUUUUUUGAUCAAUGAACCAAGUUACCCUGGGGAUAACAGCGCAAUCCAUUUCAAGAAGAUCAUCGGAAGAGCAGUUUACGACCUCGAUGUUGGAUCAGGACAUCCCAAUGGUGCAGAAGCUAUUAAUGGUUUGUUUGUUCAACAAUUAAAACCCA